UACAGAGGUCUCAAGCGUUGUUCGGAUUCAUUGGGCGUAAAGGGCGCGUAGGCGGCGCGGUAAGUCGGGUGUGAAAUCUUGGAGCUUAACUCCGAAACUGCAUUCGAUACUGCCGUGCUUGAGGACUGGAGAGGAGACUGGAAUUUACGGUGUAGCGGUGAAAUGCGUAGAUAUCGUAAGGAAGACCAGUGGCGAAGGCGGGUCUCUGGACAGUUCCUGACGCUGAGGCACGAAGGCGAGGGGAGCAAACGGG
RNAcentral lists this ribosomal RNA (253 nucleotides) under uncultured bacterium. RNAcentral describes it as "partial 16S ribosomal RNA". It matches the Rfam family "Bacterial small subunit ribosomal RNA", at positions 524 to 776 of the family's 1533-position model. The record is from RNAcentral.